RNAcentral lists this ribosomal RNA (253 nucleotides) under uncultured bacterium. RNAcentral describes it as "partial 16S ribosomal RNA". It matches the Rfam family "Bacterial small subunit ribosomal RNA", at positions 524 to 776 of the family's 1533-position model. The record is from RNAcentral.
UACGUAGGGGGCAAGCGUUGUCCGGAAUCAUUGGGCGUAAAGCGCGUGUAGGCGGCCCGGUAAGUCCGCUGUGAAAGUCGGGGGCUCAACCCUCGAAUGCCGGUGGAUACUGUCGGGCUAGAGUGCGGGAGAGGCGAGUGGGAUUCCUGGUGUAGCGGUGAAAUGCGCAGAUAUCAGGAGGAACACCAAUUGCGAAGGCAGCUCGCUGGAACGUAACUGACGCUGAGACGCGAAAGCGUGGGGAGCAAACAGG